ASCCUKGGGCGGSGUGCCUAAUACAUGCRAGUCGAGCGAAUGGAUUAAGAGCUUGCUCUUAUGAAGUUAGCGGCGGACGGGUGAGUAACACGUGGGUAACCUGCCCAUAAGACUGGGAUAACUCCGGGAAACCGGGGCUAAUACCGGAUAACAUUUUGAACCGCAUGGUUCGAAAUUGAAAGGCGGCUUCGGCUGUCACUUAUGGAUGGACCCGCGUCGCAUUAGCUAGUUGGUGAGGUAACGGCUCACCAAGGCAACGAUGCGUAGCCSACSUGAGAGGGUGAUCGGCCACACUGGGACUGASACACGGCCCAGACUCCUACGGGAGGCAGCAGUAGGGAAUCUUCCGCAAUGGACGAAAGUCUGACGGAGCAACGCCGCGUGAGUGAUGAAGGCUUUCGGGUCGUAAAACUCUGUUGUUAGGGAAGAACAAGUGCUAGUUGAAUAAGCUGGCACCUUGACGGUACCUAACCAGAAAGCCACKGCUAACUACGUGCCAGCAGCCGCGGUAAUACGUAGUGGCAAGCGUUAUCCGGAAUUAUUGGCGUAAAGCGCGCGCAGGUGGUUUCUUAAGUCUGAUGUGACAGCCACGGCUCAUCCGUGAAGGUCAGUUGGUAAGCUGUUAGACCUUGACUGCAUAUGUACGAAAGUUSGUUAAC
Molecule: ribosomal RNA, 659 nt
Filed under: Bacillus cereus
Lineage: Bacteria; Bacillati; Bacillota; Bacilli; Caryophanales; Bacillaceae
Description: bacterial SSU rRNA
Source: RNAcentral